GACGAACGCUGGCGGCGUGCUUAACACAUGCAAGUCGAACGGAAAGGCCCUGCUUUUGUGGGGUGCUCGAGUGGCGAACGGGUGAGUAACACGUGAGUAACCUGCCCUUGACUUUGGGAUAACUUCAGGAAACUGGGGCUAAUACCGGAUAGGAGCUCCUGCUGCAUGGUGGGGGUUGGAAAGUUUCGGUGGUUGGGGAUGGACUCGAGGCUUAUUAGCUUGUUGGUGGGGUAGUGGCUUACCAAGGCUUUGACGGGUAGCCGGCCUGAGAGGGUGACCGGCCACAUUGGGACUGAGAUAAGGCCCAGACUCCUACGGGAGGCAGCAGUGGGGAAUAUUGCACAAUGGGCGGAAGCCUGAUGCAGCAACGCCGCGUGCGGGAUGACGGCCUUCGGGUUGUAAACCGCUUUCGCCUGUGACGAAGCGUGAGUGACGGUAAUGGGUAAAGAAGCACCGGCUAACUACGUG
This 468-nucleotide ribosomal RNA is filed under the name uncultured bacterium. Its description in RNAcentral is "partial 16S ribosomal RNA". It matches the Rfam family "Bacterial small subunit ribosomal RNA", at positions 28 to 507 of the family's 1533-position model. The record is from RNAcentral.